RNAcentral lists this ribosomal RNA (256 nucleotides) under uncultured bacterium. Its description in RNAcentral is "partial 16S ribosomal RNA". It matches the Rfam family "Bacterial small subunit ribosomal RNA", at positions 524 to 777 of the family's 1533-position model. The record is from RNAcentral.
UACGUAGGGUGCGAGCGUUGCCCGGAUUUAUUGGGCGUAAAGGGCGCCGUAGGCGGCUCGGCACGUCCGUUGUGAAAUCGCCCGGCUCAACUGGGCGGGGUCAGCGGAUACGGUCGAGCUUGAGCAAGCUAGGGGGCAAUGGAAUUCCCGGUGUAGUGGUGGAAUGCGUAGAUAUCGGGAGGAACACCAGUGGCGAAGGCGGUUGCCUGGGGCGUUUGCUGACGCUGAUGCGCGAAAGCGUGGGGAGCGAUCCGGC